AUUGAACGCUGGCGGCAUGCCUUACACAUGCAAGUCGAACGGUAACAGGUCUUCGGACGCUGACGAGUGGCGAACGGGUGAGUAAUACAUCGGAACGUGCCCAGUCGUGGGGGAUAACUACUCGAAAGAGUAGCUAAUACCGCAUACGAUCUGAGGAUGAAAGCGGGGGACCUUCGGGCCUCGCGCGAUUGGAGCGGCCGAUGGCAGAUUAGGUAGUUGGUGGGAUAAAAGCUUACCAAGCCGACGAUCUGUAGCUGGUCUGAGAGGACGACCAGCCACACUGGGACUGAGACACGGCCCAGACUCCUACGGGAGGCAGCAGUGGGGAAUUUUGGACAAUGGGCGAAAGCCUGAUCCAGCAAUGCCGCGUGCAGGAUGAAGGCCUUCGGGUUGUAAACUGCUUUUGUACGGAACGAAAAAGCUUCUCCUAAUACGAGAGGCCCAUGACGGUACCGUAAGAAUAAGCACCGGCUAACUACGUGCCAGCAGCCGCAGUAA
RNAcentral lists this ribosomal RNA (498 nucleotides) under uncultured bacterium. RNAcentral describes it as "partial 16S ribosomal RNA". It matches the Rfam family "Bacterial small subunit ribosomal RNA", at positions 30 to 523 of the family's 1533-position model. The record is from RNAcentral.